This is a long non-coding RNA of Pseudophryne corroboree (corroboree frog), 725 nucleotides long. RefSeq lists it as uncharacterized. The transcript is spliced from 3 exons. Lineage: Eukaryota; Metazoa; Chordata; Amphibia; Anura; Myobatrachidae. The record is from RefSeq and is a predicted model, not a curated record.
AGGGUCACCAUCCUAUCCGUGGGUGACUUGUGUUUCUCAGUGUAUCUAUGAGGAUUCUUUCACAGCUCAUAAAUGAUAAAACUCCAAGAGAACAGGAUAUCGUAAUUAAAUUCUAGUGUUCCACUGCUGAGCACCGUAAAAUCAGUUAUUUUAGAAGGCCAAAUUCUUCAUUUUCCACAGUACCAGAGAUUGCUGAAGGCCAAUUGUAAACAUCAUAUUAGUAGAAGCAAAACAAAUGAAAGAAAAAGGCACAUACAGACUAUGUACUUUUAUAUUAACACUACUACCUUUUGAUAUACCUACCUUCUAUUAAGCUUGAGAAAUGGAUAGGUUUAUUAUUAAAAUAAGAAAAGAAACUGACAAAGGGAAGUCUAAUGAAAGUGCUAAUAAUAGCACAAUCGCCUCGGAACCUGAAGUUACAAACUUACAGGAAGAUAAUGCUUGCACCAGUCAUAGCGCAUGUAGUUCUGACCAGCAACAAAUCGCAGUCACAUCAGAAUCCGAAGUUCCAUACUUACAGGAAGAUAAUGCUGACAUCGGUUGUGCGGAAUGUAGUUCUGACCAACCACAAACUGCAGUCACCUCAGAAUCUGAAGUUCCACACUUACAGGAAGAUAAUGCUGACAUCCUUAAUAGUGCAUGUUGUUCAACUUCUGACCAACAACAAACCUCUUUGCCUCUCAGUUCAAGUCCAUGUAGUUCUUAUUCAAAGCCUGCAAAUACUC